GGGGAUAUGGCGGAAUUGGUAGACGCUACGGACUUUCAAUACCAACAACAAUGCAAAUUGCAGUAGGAAGAAAAUCCGUCGGUUUUUUAGACCGUGAGGGUUCAAGUCCCUCUAUUCCCA
Molecule: transfer RNA, 120 nt
Filed under: Araucaria angustifolia
Lineage: Eukaryota; Viridiplantae; Streptophyta; Pinopsida; Araucariales; Araucariaceae
Description: tRNA-Leu
Rfam family: tRNA
About the family: Transfer RNA (tRNA) molecules are approximately 80 nucleotides in length. Their secondary structure includes four short double-helical elements and three loops (D, anti-codon, and T loops).
Source: RNAcentral